Ailuropoda melanoleuca (giant panda) is the source of this 276-nucleotide long non-coding RNA. RefSeq lists it as uncharacterized. The record is from RefSeq and is a predicted model, not a curated record. Lineage: Eukaryota; Metazoa; Chordata; Mammalia; Carnivora; Ursidae. The transcript is spliced from 3 exons.
GGCCCUGGGGGCAGCCGCCUGCAGGGGGGCCUCGUUCUGCACUUCCACGCCCUGGAAAAUAAAAAUGAUUCAGGACCAAAAGGCGCAAAGAAUGACGAAAACGCGAUAAAUGCUCAUCGCUGCAAAUGACUUUGUUGGGUGUCGUGUCCUCGGCCCUGAGUGUUAAUGCCCCGGUGGCGCUCCCCGCUGACUUUAACUCAAGAUUAUCCUGGAUGACCUGAGGGGGCCGUGGCUCAAAGUCAUUGAGAGCAACACGGAGAUGUUCCUGAGGAGAAA